GAGUUUGAUCCUGGCUCAGGACGAACGCUGGCGGCGUGCUUAACACAUGCAAGUCGAACGGGAAACUUUUCAUUGAAGCUUCGGCAGAUUUGGUCUGUUUCUAGUGGCGGACGGGUGAGUAACGCGUGGGUAACCUGCCUUAUACAGGGGGAUAACAACCAGAAAUGGUUGCUAAUACCGCAUAAGCGCACAGGACCGCAUGGUCCGGUGUGAAAAACUCCGGUGGUAUAAGAUGGACCCGCGUUGGAUUAGCUAGUUGGUGAGGUAACGGCCCACCAAGGCGACGAUCCAUAGCCGACCUGAGAGGGUGACCGGCCACAUUGGGACUGAGGCACGGCCCAGACUCCUACGGGAGGCAGCAGCGGGGGAUAUUGCACAAUGGGGGAAACCCUGAUGCAGCGACGCCGCGUGGAGGAAGAAGGUUUUCGGAUUGUAAACUCCUGUCGUUAGGGACGAUAAUGACGGUACCUGACUAAGAAGCACCGGCUAAAUACGUGCCAGCCGCCGCGGUAAUUC
This 516-nucleotide ribosomal RNA is filed under the name uncultured bacterium. RNAcentral's name for it is "bacterial SSU rRNA". It matches the Rfam family "Bacterial small subunit ribosomal RNA", at positions 9 to 526 of the family's 1533-position model. The record is from RNAcentral.